GGGGCUUCGUCGGAGCUGCGAGGGUGACGCCUUUGUUCCGUCCGUGUUCUGCUGCGGCCAAUCGCUGGCUGUCCUCUUGGACGGCCAAUUGAUAGAUUCGGCCGAGCGGCGGCAUCGGCUACAUCGCCAGAAUUUGUGAUGGGAAAGUCGUUCCUCAGCGGCCUUGAGCUCAUUCUAAAGGGCCGAGAGUCGGUUGAAGCAAGCGGUGACCGAGACGUUCCCUUACUUCAACUUCGAGAAGGCCUUAGUAAGUGUGAAUAAUUUUGCAUGGUCGAACCUCCCAUACAUCUCGCGUAUGUUUUCCCACAUUAUCUUUGAGUCCUUUGUUGGUGAGAGCCCGGCAGAGAUGUCGGGAGCCAAACAAUUCCCAAUCCAAGUGCGAAUCAAUUGAUUGCACCUCCGCCAAUGACGCUGUAGCCGUUCUUCGUUUAGAAAGUGGACAGCUCCAUCGAUGAAACCAUCUUUGUCUUUUGUGACUAGCGCUUGCCGGAAGUCUCCAGCCUAGGCAUUGUAGUUGUUUGGUCCGACGAGCUGAAGGUUGAUCAGCCGAAGCUCAAGUUCGUCGGCCGACAACGUGUAUAGAGGGUCGCCGGGCUCAAGCGGCCGCCACUAGUUGCAAUUCCGAAGGGUAGAUAGCCAGGUUGGUAACCGGGUUGGAAAACCUUGUAGGGAUUCGUCAUUGUACCCGAUUGAGUAAAUUCGGGUCUGUGACCCGUAUUUGUCCAGUCGGAUCCAUUAUUCGGGUCGGUUCUAGAAGCAAAGUGAAUGGUUCCUCCUCAGUUGGGUUGAAUUCCAAAACCCUGAACUCGUUCCUCUCCGGGCGGACCAUAUUGAAGCCACGCUUGAUUGGUCCUGCGGCCCAUUGGCCUUGAACCAGAAACCAUUGGACUAGUAGCCACUGGACCGGGCCGGGAAUCUGGACUGAAGGAGGUGUGGAUCCUACUGGAUGUUGAGCAGGAGUCUCUUCUAUUAUAGUCGGAUCAUUCUAAUCCGUGAUUUGAGCUCGUGGGCUACAACAACAAUUCAGAAGACAAGACCGGAGGCAAUUCCAGAAGAAUUUUUUCGGAAGCUAGGCCAAAAAAGAUAGCUUUGAUACCAUGUCAAAAAAUGAAGAAAUUGGAAGAACUUUUUUUUCUAUAUCCCGUAUACAAGUAAUGAUGAAACAUAAAAACAGGAAAGAAAAUAUAUGGGAUUUCAAUUUCCUAUUCUACGUAA
Molecule: long non-coding RNA, 1215 nt
Organism: Syzygium oleosum
Lineage: Eukaryota; Viridiplantae; Streptophyta; Magnoliopsida; Myrtales; Myrtaceae
Exons: 3
Source: RefSeq, a predicted model, not a curated record